This 477-nucleotide ribosomal RNA is filed under the name uncultured bacterium. RNAcentral's name for it is "partial 16S ribosomal RNA". It matches the Rfam family "Bacterial small subunit ribosomal RNA", at positions 30 to 507 of the family's 1533-position model. The record is from RNAcentral.
AUUGAACGCUGGCGGCAUGCCUUACACAUGCAAGUCGAACGGUAACAGGUUAAGCUGACGAGUGGCGAACGGGUGAGUAAUGUAUCGGAACGUGCCCAGUCGUGGGGGAUAACUGCUCGAAAGAGCAGCUAAUACCGCAUACGACCUGAGGGUGAAAGCUGGGGAUCGCAAGACCUCGCGCGAUUGGAGCGGCCGAUAUCAGAUUAGGUAGUUGGUGAGGUAAAGGCUCACCAAGCCGACGAUCUGUAUCUGGUCUGAGAGGACGACCAGCCACACUGGGACUGAGACACGGCCAAGACUCCUACGGGAGGCAGCAGUGGGGAAUUUUGGACAAUGGGCGCAAGCCUGAUCCAGCCAUGCCGCGUGCGGGAAGAAGGCCUUCGGGUUGUAAACCGCUUUUGUCAGGGAAGAAAAGGUUCUGGCUAAUACCUGGGACUCAUGACGGUACCUGACGAAUAAGCACCGGCUAACUACGUG